UCGAACCACCUAACGAGGAACGAUCGGAGGGCAAGUCUGGUGCCAGCAGCCGCGGUAAUUCCAGCUCCAAUAGCGUACGUUAAAAGUUGCUGCAGUUAAAAAGCUCGUAGUUGAACGUUCGGGGUUCCGCGGGACGGGGCCGCCCCGCGAGGGACGGCGCCGCCCCGGGGCUCGUGAUAUCUUAUCUCGCCGCCCGUCGCGAGGCGGACGGAGGGAUGGAUGAGGUUACCUGGAAAAAAAUCGGGGCGAUCUAGCGGGGGGGCAACCUCGCCAACGAACGAUCGGACAUGGGAUAACGGAAGAGGGCGUCGGCUCGACUUCGUCGGUUCCUCGGGCCGAGGCACGUACGGUGAAUAGGGACGGUCGGGGCCGCCCGUACCGGGUCGUGAGAGGUGAAAUUCUAGGAUCGACCCGAGACGAACUGCCGCGAAAGCAUUCGGCAAGGACGCUUUCAUUAAUCAAGAACGAAAGUCGGGGGAUCGAAGACGAUCAGAUACCGUCGUAGUCCCGACCGUAACGAUGCCGACCGA
This 530-nucleotide ribosomal RNA is filed under the name uncultured eukaryote. RNAcentral's name for it is "bacterial SSU rRNA". It matches the Rfam family "Eukaryotic small subunit ribosomal RNA", at positions 525 to 1049 of the family's 1831-position model. The record is from RNAcentral.